RNAcentral lists this long non-coding RNA (1427 nucleotides) under Homo sapiens (human). Its description in RNAcentral is "non-protein coding lnc-TRIM43-1:8". The record is from RNAcentral. Lineage: Eukaryota; Metazoa; Chordata; Mammalia; Primates; Hominidae.
CAUGGUGCUGCUGGCUGGGACCCGGCCGCAGGGUGGCUGGGAGCGCUGCAUGACCCCGCCACCGCCGUCCCCACUCCUAGGCGCACAGGUCGAGGAGGACCGCGCUGACUACAAAGAGUUCCAGGGCCCCACACCUGCAGCAUAGCCUGGGACGACUCUGUACCCUUUCCAGGACGAGGAGGAGCACGGCGUCGAGGGCUUGGAGAGCGUCCCGGAGGAGGGCGUCCAGGAGGCAUGGGGCUGCUGCGGACGCUGGUGCGGCGAGGGGUGAGCGUUGAGAAGGCGCAGGAGACUGACCACAAUGGCUGGACCAGCCUUAAUGUCGCCUGCUACCACGGCUUUGUGGAUAUACCGUGGUGGCCUUAGCUGAGUAACCCCACACUGACGUCAACUGGCAGGACAGGGAGGGGAACGCAGCCCUAAAUACAGCUGCACAGGCUGGCCCAGUCAGGGCACGCUAUCAUCACCAACUACUUGUUGAACUACGUUCAGGGUCUUGAUCUUGAAGGAGGGACGCGUUCGGGUUGAAAGCCGCCAUGCAGGGUCGAACGGAUCGCAUCGGAGCCCUGAGCUAGCAGGGGCGGGUGUCCACGCGAGGGCCCCCGCCGUGGGAUGUCGCCAGAGGAGUGGCCACUUAUACGUCCGCCUCAUGCAGAGGCUCCUGGAGCGCCCCUGCCGGGAGCUGUUGGGGAAAAAGUACCAGCUUGAGCUGCCGCCGCUCCCCGAGAGGCCGCAAAAGCCCGAGGGCUCCAAGAACUGCCUGCAGAGGCUCAGGGACUGCGAGCUGUCCGCGCUGACGCCGCGCUCCAUGCGGGGCCCAGAGGACCGGGGCGCCCUGGACCACAUGGUCAGGAUGACCACGAGCCUCUAACAGCCCCGCCGGGGCCCUCGCGUGCCAGACUAUGUGCCCCGAGAGCACCUUGUGCUGGGGGAAGAGGCGGCUGGCGGUGCAGGAAAUCCUGGCGGCGCAGGAAAUUCCGGCGGCGCGGCGAGGGGUGGGGGGAGGCAGGCGCAGGAGGCGGGCGAAGAGGAGGGCGCAGAGUAGCAUAAGCCGCUCGGCCUAGCGGCCGCUGGCUCCACAAAGGCCUCCCCAAGAGCCGGCCUCCCACCUGCCCGGCUGCCGGGGUCCUGGGGCUCCGCCGCCCCCGCCCCGCGGACGGCCAGCCUCCUGCCCCUGCAGUGCCUGCAGCAGAGCAGCUUGGGGCCCAGCGUGGUGGUGCCCAGGUCCGCCUCAGCAAGGUGCCCGCGCCCACCUUCCAACCCAAAAGGCCGGCGCGGAAGGGCAGCAUAAAGGCAGCGGCCACCUGCGGAUACCCAAGUGGCCUUACAAGGUGGCCAAGGAGGAGAAACGGGAGGCGGAGGAGGCCGAGAAGAGGCGCCAGGCCAAGGUGCAGGAGAAGCGCCCGCCGCCCUGGAAGAAGAGGACG